CUUGCUACCGAUGGUGAGAGUGGCGCACGGGUGCGUAACGCGUGAGCAACCUGCCCAUAUCAGGGGGAUAGCCCGGAGAAAUCCGGAUUAACACCGCAUGACACUGCUUUCCGGCAUCGGGAGGUGGUCAAAUAUUCAUAGGAUAUGGAUGGGCUCGCGUGACAUUAGCUAGUUGGUGGGGUAACGGCCCACCAAGGCGACGAUGUCUAGGGGCUCUGAGAGGAGAAUCCCCCACACUGGUACUGAGACACGGACCAGACUCCUACGGGAGGCAGCAGUAAGGAAUAUUGGUCAAUGGGGGCAACCCUGAACCAGCCAUGCCGCGUGCAGGACGACUGCCCUAUGGGUUGUAAACUGCUUUUGUUAGGGAAUAAACCCCGCUACGUGUAGCGGGCUGAAUGUACCUAAAGAAUAAGGAUCGGCUAACUCCGUGCCAGCAGCCGCGGUAAUACGGAGGAUCCGAGCGUUAUCCGGAUUUAUUGGGUUUAAAGGGUGCGUAGGCGGCACUUUAAGUCAGGGGUGAAAGACGGCAGCUCAACUGUCGCAGUGCCCUUGAUACUGAAGUGCUUGAAUGCGGUUGAAGACGGCGGAAUGAGACAAGUAGCGGUGAAAUGCAUAGAUAUGUCUCAGAACACCGAUUGCGAAGGCAGCUGUCUAAGCCGUUAUUGACGCUGAUGCACGAAAGCGUGGGGAUCGAACAGGAUUAGAUACCCUGGUAGUCCACGCCCUAAACGAUGAUGACUCGAUGUUUGCGAUAUACCGUAAGCGUCCAAGCGAAAGCGUUAAGUCAUCCACCUGGGGAGUACGCCCGCAAGGGUGAAACUCAAAGGAAUUGA
RNAcentral lists this ribosomal RNA (836 nucleotides) under bacterium W13C19. Its description in RNAcentral is "bacterial SSU rRNA". It matches the Rfam family "Bacterial small subunit ribosomal RNA", at positions 69 to 913 of the family's 1533-position model. The record is from RNAcentral.